GGUGCUAUCGUCUAGUGGCAGGACAAUACGUUGUGGUUAGCAAAUUCUGGUUUAGGGUAGCUUGUUUCUUCUCUAGAUAGAUGUAUUUAAGACAGCAUCCGUGUAAACGGCGGUUCGAUCCCGUCUAGCGCUA
Hypoxylon trugodes is the source of this 133-nucleotide non-coding RNA. The record is from the annotation of a RefSeq genome assembly. Lineage: Eukaryota; Fungi; Ascomycota; Sordariomycetes; Xylariales; Hypoxylaceae.